AGUGAACGCUGGCGGUAGGCCUAACACAUGCAAGUCGAACGGCAGCACAGAGGAGCUUGCUCCUUGGGUGGCGAGUGGCGGACGGGUGAGGAAUACAUCGGAAUCUACUCUGUCGUGGGGGAUAACGUAGGGAAACUUACGCUAAUACCGCAUACGACCUACGGGUGAAAGCAGGGGACCUUCGGGCCUUGCGCGAUUGAAUGAGCCGAUGUCGGAUUAGCUAGUUGGCGGGGUAAAGGCCCACCAAGGCGACGAUCCGUAGCUGGUCUGAGAGGAUGAUAAGCCACACUGGAACUGAGACACGGGCCAGACUCCUACGGGAGGCAGCAGUGGGGAAUAUUGGACAAUGGGCGAAAGCCUGAUCCAGCCAUACCGCGUGGGUGAAGAAGGCCUUCGGGUUGUAAAGCCCUUUUGUUGGGAAAGAAAUCCAGCUGGCUAAUACCCGGUUGGGAUGACGGUACCCAAAGAAUAAGCACCGGCUAACUUCGUGCCAGCCGCCGCGGUAA
Molecule: ribosomal RNA, 506 nt
Filed under: uncultured bacterium
Lineage: Bacteria
Description: partial 16S ribosomal RNA
Rfam family: Bacterial small subunit ribosomal RNA
Source: RNAcentral